RNAcentral lists this ribosomal RNA (556 nucleotides) under Bacillus inaquosorum. RNAcentral's name for it is "bacterial SSU rRNA". It matches the Rfam family "Bacterial small subunit ribosomal RNA", at positions 83 to 624 of the family's 1533-position model. The record is from RNAcentral. Lineage: Bacteria; Bacillati; Bacillota; Bacilli; Caryophanales; Bacillaceae.
UCCCUGAUGUUAGCGGCGGACGGGUGAGUAACACGUGGGUAACCUGCCUGUAAGACUGGGAUAACUCCGGGAAACCGGGGCUAAUACCGGAUGGUUGUUUGAACCGCAUGGUUCAAACAUAAAAGGUGGCUUCGGCUACCACUUACAGAUGGACCCGCGGCGCAUUAGCUAGUUGGUGAGGUAACGGCUCACCAAGGCAACGAUGCGUAGCCGACCUGAGAGGGUGAUCGGCCACACUGGGACUGAGACACGGCCCAGACUCCUACGGGAGGCAGCAGUAGGGAAUCUUCCGCAAUGGACGAAAGUCUGACGGAGCAACGCCGCGUGAGUGAUGAAGGUUUUCGGAUCGUAAAGCUCUGUUGUUAGGGAAGAACAAGUACCGUUCGAAUAGGGCGGUACCUUGACGGUACCUAACCAGAAAGCCACGGCUAACUACGUGCCAGCAGCCGCGGUAAUACGUAGGUGGCAAGCGUUGUCCGGAAUUAUUGGGCGUAAAGGGCUCGCAGGCGGUUUCUUAAGUCUGAUGUGAAAGCCCCCGGCUCAACCGGGGAGGGUC